AGUCCAGCGUCUCCUGGGCUUAGAUUCCCCAGCUGCUGUCUCUGGAGGGGCCCCCGACAGCUGCUCGCGGGAGCCGCCUCCCGACACCCGAGCCCCGCCGGCGCCUCGCGCUCCCGGCUCCCGGCUCCCUCCGCCUACCCCGCCCCUCGCCCCGCCGCCGAAGAGGCCCCGCUCCCGGGUCGGACGCCUGGGUCUGCCGGGAAGAGCGAUGAGAGGUAGGGAGAGCGGCGGCGGACCCCGCGGGCGGAGGCCUGGGGCUCCUGGGGUGGGGGCGCGCGGCGGCUCCUGCAGGGCGAGGGGCGGGGGAGGCAGGACGUCCCGGGCCAUGCUUC
RNAcentral lists this small RNA (332 nucleotides) under Pongo abelii (Sumatran orangutan). RNAcentral describes it as "processed transcript". The record is from RNAcentral. Lineage: Eukaryota; Metazoa; Chordata; Mammalia; Primates; Hominidae.